RNAcentral lists this ribosomal RNA (536 nucleotides) under uncultured bacterium. Its description in RNAcentral is "partial 16S ribosomal RNA". It matches the Rfam family "Bacterial small subunit ribosomal RNA", at positions 355 to 901 of the family's 1533-position model. The record is from RNAcentral.
UGGGGAAUAUUGCACAAUGGGCGAAAGCCUGAUGCAGCAACGCCGCGUGAGGGACGACGGCCUUCGGGUUGUAAACCUCUUUUAGCAAGGAAGAAGCGAAAGUGACGGUACUUGCAGAAAAAGCGCCGGCUAACUACGUGCCAGCAGCCGCGGUAAUACGUAGGGCGCAAGCGUUAUCCGGAAUUAUUGGGCGUAAAGAGCUCGUAGGCGGUUUGUCGCGUCUGCUGUGAAAACCCGAGGCUCAACCUCGGGCCUGCAGUGGGUACGGGCAGACUAGAGUGCGGUAGGGGAGAUUGGAACUCCUGGUGUAGCGGUGGAAUGCGCAGAUAUCAGGAAGGACACCGAUGGCGAAGGCAGAUCUCUGGGCCGUAACUGACGCUGAGGAGCGAAAGGGUGGGGAGCAAACAGGCUUAGAUACCCUGGUAGUCCACCCGUAAACGUUGGGAACUAGUUGUGGGGUCCAUUCCACGGAUUCCGUGGACGCAGCUAACGCAUUAAGUUCCCCGCCUGGGGAGUACGGCCGCAAGGCUAAAACU